GCCAGCACUUUCAGCCAGAGGAUUUCGAAACGGAACCGAAGUCUCAACUGAUGGGGUUGCCAUGUCGUCUAACGUUGAAAAGUGAUGCUAUUCCAUCGAUUUUCCCCUUCACUUCAAAGAGGAAGGCAUCCGAUCUGCCAAAAUCAGCGCAGCAGAAAAGUCCGAUCCCAUCAACAUCUGCAGUGGCAUCAACAACAAGUUCAGCACCAGGAACUAGUACUAAUCAUGCUGCUGAUGACCUUGACCUUGACACCAGCUUUAGUAGUACAGAGUCUGUAGACCCAUUGGAUGAAAGCUUUCAGCCUGGAAUAAGCUCAAGCUCAACAUCAUUUGACUUUGAAACAAGCUAGGACAGCAAAAGGUAUUUAUGAAAGCACAACACCCUCUUGAAAAAGAGACGAAGCAGUGUGUGGUGAAGAACAUCACCAAAGCCUACUAAACCAGAUGCCAUUACCCAACACAAGAAGAGGUUCUC
This is a long non-coding RNA of Coregonus clupeaformis (lake whitefish), 475 nucleotides long. RefSeq lists it as uncharacterized. The record is from RefSeq and is a predicted model, not a curated record. The transcript is spliced from 3 exons. Lineage: Eukaryota; Metazoa; Chordata; Actinopteri; Salmoniformes; Salmonidae.